CCCUCCCUCUUCCCUCCUGCCUAACACAUGCAAGUCGAACGAGACCUUCCGGUCUUGUGGCGCACGGGUGCGUAACGCGUGGUAACCUGCCCUUAGGUUCGCAGUAACUCCCCGAAAGGGGUCCUAAUACCAGAUAAUGUCAUCGGACCAAAGAUUUAUCGCCUUUGGAUGGGGCCGCGUUGGUUUCGCUAGUUGGUAGGGUAAAAGCCUACCAAGACGUCGAUCCAUGGCUGGUCUGAGAGGAUGAUCAGACACAGUGGGACUGAGACACGGCCCAGACGCGUGCGGGAGGAAGGAGGAGGGAAUAUUGGACAGUGGGAGAAAGACUGAGCCAGCAAGGGCGCGUGAGUGAUGAAGGCCUUAGGGAUGUCAAGCUCUCUUAUCCGGGAUGAUAAUGACAGUGCCGGGAGAAUAAGGUACGGCUGAAUCCGUG
Molecule: ribosomal RNA, 433 nt
Filed under: uncultured bacterium
Lineage: Bacteria
Description: partial 16S ribosomal RNA
Rfam family: Bacterial small subunit ribosomal RNA
Source: RNAcentral